This 582-nucleotide ribosomal RNA is filed under the name uncultured bacterium. Its description in RNAcentral is "bacterial SSU rRNA". It matches the Rfam family "Bacterial small subunit ribosomal RNA", at positions 28 to 657 of the family's 1533-position model. The record is from RNAcentral.
AGCGAACGCUGGCGGCAGGCCUAAUACAUGCAAGUCGAACGGCUCUUCGGAGCAGUGGCGGACGGGUGAGUAACGCGUGGGAACGUGCCCUUUGGUUCGGAACAACACAGGGAAACUUGUGCUAAUACCGAAUGUGCCCUUCGGGGGAAAGAUUUAUCGCCAUUGGAGCGGCCCGCGUUGGAUUAGGUAGUUGGUGGGGUAAAGGCCUACCAAGCCUACGAUCCAUAGCUGGUCUGAGAGGAUGAUCAGCCACACUGGGACUGAGACACGGCCCAGACUCCUACGGGAGGCAGCAGUAGGGAAUCUUGCGCAAUGGGCGAAAGCCUGACGCAGCCAUGCCGCGUGAAUGAUGAAGGUCUUAGGAUUGUAAAAUUCUUUCACCGGGGAAGAUAAUGACGGUACCCGGAGAAGAAGCCCCGGCUAACUUCGUGCCAGCAGCCGCGGUAAUACGAAGGGGGCUAGCGUUGCUCGGAAUUACUGGGCGUAAAGGGCGCGUAGGCGGACAGUUAAGUCAGAGGUGAAAGCCCAGGGCUCAACCUUGGAAUUGCCUUUGAUACUGGCUGUCUAUGAGUUCGGGAGAGG